GGAGGCGAAUGGGGCCUGGUGGCCCUCCUGGUCUUCAAAACCAGUGCGCCGAUGAUGAAUCGGUGGGCGGGUUCGAUUCCCGACCGCCUCCG
Molecule: transfer RNA, 92 nt
Filed under: Actinomycetota bacterium
Lineage: Bacteria; Bacillati; Actinomycetota
Description: tRNA-Sec
Rfam family: Selenocysteine transfer RNA
Source: RNAcentral